Arvicola amphibius (Eurasian water vole) is the source of this 2526-nucleotide long non-coding RNA. RefSeq lists it as uncharacterized. NCBI's taxonomy places the organism in Eukaryota, Metazoa, Chordata, Mammalia, Rodentia, Cricetidae. The transcript has 2 exons. The record is from RefSeq and is a predicted model, not a curated record.
CCCGGACGUUGCUCUCUGCCCCGGGAACGUCGAGACUGGAGCGCCCGAACUGAGCCACCUUCGCGAACCCGGAGCGCGGCAGCCCGACUCACCGCGGAGGCGCCCGGACGCGUAAAUGACCCCCUCCAGGGCAAGGUUUCAACCCCAAAGGUAGCGCCCGGGAGCCGCACUGCCUAGAACACCCCAGCAAUCGCAGGGGCUUUUCUGGGGUGACGGAACCCCAGCCGGAUACCGCAGCUCCAGCCACUCGCGUCCCGUGCGCUGCCCUCCCAGAAGAGACCAGCUGCCUAACUUUCCGGGCUGGAGACCGCUCUGGCGUCCGGGGCGGGUGGGCGCUCGCCGAUCGCUCUCCACUAGCCAAGGAACUUGUCCAGAGAAGUCGACCGCGGGCAAGUGGCCCAGAGGGCGCGCAGGUAGGCACCCGCCCUCGCCACCGGGUUUCCGAGGUCUCUGCCCGGGAACCCUUCGUAGGACCUGUGGCUGCUGCAGUUGGAGCUCCGAGUGUACCUUACUCGAAGAACAGAGUAUGUUCACAGGGAAUGUGUCUCCCCUCCCUCUGGCUGAGGGACUUUCUCUGCUCGGUGGGAUGGGGUAUACACCCCAGCACUUCCCACCUGAGGGAAACCUGCCGACUCCCAUUGUUCCUAGCCCUCCUGGUAGGGUCUUUCAGAUGGACUAGGGAAAUCUCACUGAACAUACCUGAUUGGGGGGUCCCCACUCAUAUGGUUUUUAUCCCAAAGCAGGGCUUCUCUGAGCUCACAGACCACCACCCCUCUUCUCUUUUGGACUGGGGUGGUAGAGUGAGAAGAGACUCUUGCUGGGGAGUCUGAGAGGCAGAUUGGGGGCUUCUGAGACCUUGUCUUGGGUACAGCAAUAUAUACUUCUCCUCAGCCCGAGAUUCUCUCAUCUCUGGGAGGCACCAGUCUAGGGUUCAUGUCCUGCUCCUUCCCUCAAGGAUCUGGGGCAGGGAUAUGAGGCAGGUCCUCCCUUUCCAUAUUCAGUUUCUGAAAAGGCCACUUGGGAUAGGUUCAUAUGUGUCAGGGAGCAUAUGCCACGUGGCAGUCAUAGUCUGGGACAGAUAGAAGUCCAGCACUGCUGGUCCCGCUCUAUGGACCAGUCACAUCUGAUCAUCACUCCCUCCUGAUGUGGGACACCUGGGAAAGCAGCUGGCGGUCUUCCUGGGCAUCUGCUGGUGAGUGUGGGAAACAGGCUACACCCCACACUUCAGGAUUCCAGAGCACUGGAUGAAGUACCCAGGCCCUUUUGACUCCUCUGGUCUCCUGUACAGGUGAGGACAGAACCAAGGUGUGGGUGAUUCUGGCCUUUGGGGCACAUACCUGGCUUGACAACUCCUACUCCAGUGCCCACUACCCCUUCUUCCUGUCCCCCCUUAACUCCCCCAUCCUCUUUUCCCACUGCCCUCCAGGCCAGCACCUCCAACUAGCUAUAGAUCUCUGGCUUUCUACUAGUUGCUUAACUGCCCUGUCUUGUCCCAACAGCCUAGAUUGUGAAUACUGGGCUAAGGCAAUUCAAUGGGAAUACUGAAGUCCAUGCGAUGCUUGGACCUUAGUGGGAACAGGCAGACUUGGGAGGGGACUCUGGGGACUUUCUCCUGUUUCAAGAGCCCAGGAGGGGCAUAUCCUGGGGGAGGAGGGACUCCUGCCUGCCCCCUUCCAGCUCCAGUAGAGGGCAGACGGGGAAGAGAAAAGGAGGGAUAUAUUGGACUGGGUCCAUUUGGUGCCCUGGAACAACUCGGGGUGGGGGUGGGUCCUUGGCAUGACUGGGGAGGAUGGGACUUUGGCCACCCUUCUACUCCCAAGAUCUGGGUCAUAGUGGUCUGCCUGUGAGGGGGUGCUAGGUGGGCCUGGCACUAACCCCUUGGUCUCCCAGCCUCUGGGUGGGGUUGGUGGGUGGGUGUGGCAAGUAUAGUCUCUGCCUUCCUUUCCCAAGGCUGUCAGAAGACUCCAUGGAAGUUGGUGGGCAGUGCCAGUGGGUUUUCACAUCUCCCAGCAGGGGGUACCUCCUAGGACUCAGAAAAAGGCUUCAGCCCCACCCUUAAAGAAGAGUGCUGGAGAACAAGUCUCAUGUCCUGGGGCUGGCCUCAUUUCAUCAUGACUUGGUUGCAUGGACGCAGGCCUCUUUGGCCAUCACUCUUGUUACUUUUAAGCUGCUUCCCCCUGCACUGACCUCUGGACGCCCCAGGAGCUUUCCUUUCUCUGAACUUCCACCAUGGUGUUCCUGUUGCUUUUCUCUUUGCUUUUGGACCCCCUCCCCCCAUAAUCUUUUUUUCCUUCCAAAGCCCUAGACUGACCUGUCCCAUCCUUCCCCAUGUAGGGAGCCCAGCCUUCCUGCCUGGACCAUCCUCACAGAAGCACAUGCCCUCUGCCUGUUCUGUUCUUCCUUGGUGGCCAGCAGCUGUCCAACAGAUGAAAUUGGUGUCUGCCUGGCAGCCCUGCCCCUCCUGGUCCAGCUGGAAUCCCCUGGAGUGACUGCUGGGAGGUGCCCAAUAAAACUUUGUGCAAUGAG